GGCCUCCAUGCAUGCCUUGCUGAAGCCUGAAGCUGAGCAAGGAAGCAGGCAGACAGGCAGAGAGUGUCCCGCGCCAGAUCUCUCUGCAGGCCCUCUGCCCAGCCCAGCUGUAGUAAUGGAGACCAGUCUUCAGCUGCUUGGAUUUCUCAGCUCCUUGUCCAGACCCUUGAGACCCUAACUCAUGCUGCUUUAGACCUGGUUCCUGAGCUGUUUCCUGCGCUGUUUCCUGGGCUGCUUCACCUUGCCUUGAGACCUCCCUUGGUGAUGCUGUGGACCUUAGGCUCAGGACUCUUGGAAUCUGGUGAGCGACCUAGGUGAGGGGAAGACUGUUGAACUUGAUACUUGCUAGUGAUUUGUUUCUCUUGUGCUUUGUUGCAGAUGCAGAAGGAUCCCAGAGCUACUGGCUUUGUUAAUGGUGACCUUGGACCAAGCCUUGGAAGGAUGAGCUCGUGACAACUGAAUCCCUAUGAGGAUUCAUUACACACCUUCAUUUAUUUUAUUCAUUUUGACUGUCUUGGGACAGUACCAACUGUCAACCAAUGCCAUGUGCCAGUGACACCCCUCUCCCACCUGUAAGGAAGUGGGGUACAACUCAGUUUAUGUUUUAGGAAUUUUUUCAAGUGUUUAGACUCUGGUGUCUAAUAACCUUCCUUCAUAAUGAAUCCCUAUGAGGAUUCUUUACAUACCAAAGAGUUUAAACACAUCAAAAAAAAUUCCUAAAAUAUAAACAGAGUACCUAGUGGCUUGUGGGUAGUUGGCAUGUGGGAUGCCAUUAAUUCCCCACCCCACCUGCAAAGCAGUGGGGUCAAAAUGAACAGAAGAAAUGAAGGUGUGUAAUGAAGACACCAAAGAAUCUAAACACUUCAAAAAUUCCUAAAAAAUAAACUGAGUACCCCAGUGUGGGGGGGGUGGGAUGGGGGUGUAGUUGACAAAUGGCAAUUGACAGUUAGCACUGUCUAAUAACAGUCAAAAUGAAUAUAAGAAAUGAAGGCAUAUAAUGAAUCCUCAUAGGGAUUCAUUCUGAGGAAAUGUUAUUAGACACCAAAGAAUCUAAACACUUCAAUAUUCCUAAAAAAUAAACUGAGUAACCUACUACCUUGCAGGUGGGGGCAGAAUGUAGUUGGCACAUGGAAGUUGACAGCUGGCACUGUCCAAUGACAGUAAAAAUGAACAGAAGAAAUGAAGGUGUGCAAUGAAUCCUCAUAGGGAUACAUUAUGAGGAAAAGUUAUUAUACACCGAAGAGUGACUGCACAUAUUGCUCCAUAACUCCACUUCUACAAGGGCUAGAGCUUAGCUCUUUAAAAAAAAUUAAAGCUGGGGGUCUAUGUUAGAGUUAGGAUAGGGUGACUACAAUUCCCCAUUAUUUCCUAUGGUGGAAAUAUACAAAACUAGUAAAAACAAAAGAAAAUAAUUAAAAUCAACCAAGUGUCAAACUGCCUUGAAAUUUGGGUGGUAGGUGGCACCCAUGGAGACUUACCCACCACCCCAAUUUGGUGCCCCUGGGUCCUGUACAAAUGGUCUGAAUCAAUCUGAAUUGAAUCAAAUUUAAAUAGAAUCUGGGGUAAUUCAGGAGGACAUAUUUGGACACAAAACAAAUUGGGGUGAUUCAAUCCAGGCACAAUUUGAAUUAAAAAUUGAUUUGUGCACAUCCCUAUUGUCUACUCUGAGGCAGUGGCUCUUUAGGACUUUAGGAAGUAUUUGGAUUCUUCCCUCAGGGUUCACACUGGUGCUCUCUUGGUCUUAGACUGCAGGGGAGGGAGUUGCUUCACUCACUGCCUCCUCCUGCUGGACUAAACCUUCCUUCGUCUGGGAUCUCAUCAGAGGGCCCAGACCCCGCUUCAACACUGUACAGUGGAUAAUAUAAAUCCUGCUCUUUUAUAUCUUGCUCCUCCUCCAAGGAGCCCGGAGUGCUGUACGUGGUUAUCCCCAUGUUCAUUUCCACAACAAGCCUGUGAGAUCACCAAUAUAUAACCCACCUGCACAGCCACAAGAUGCAAGUUUCUUUGAUAUCAAUGGAAGGUAAACAUUUGUAGUUGUACAUCAGGCUGUGUCCUGCAUAGCUAAAGGCAAUAGAUGGAACACAACAAGAGAGUAGCAAAUAGCAAACACGUCAAGUCAAGGAGGAAUGAACCCAAUGUAAACAGAAAUAGGAUGAAUCUCAAAGAACUUUCUACAGGAGAUAUACAAGUGCAAUUUUGUGUAUUCCUACUGUGCUAAAUGACCGAAGAGGGUCAGCGGCGUAUUUCCAGUCUUCCGGAAUGUGAGCAGCACUUGGAAGAAUUAUCUUUCUUGCACAACGGAGCAUGUGCAGGAGGAAUGGAGGAGUUGCACCAGAGCUCCCGACACAUCCUCACAGACCCUUUUAACACAUGCAAGUUCAAUGGUCAGGAUAUCAAUCAGUGUCUCUACACUGGCUGCUGGUGUCUACCUUGUGAUUCUUUUUGUAUUAUGAGUCCUUGGGGGACUUCGAACCAUUAUUAUUUUUAUUUAUAGAUCACUUUGAGUCUUUUUCCUGAAAAGUGGAAUAUUGAUGAUGGUAAAUCAGUUGAUAAUGUAUCAAAGCUUGCUCCUACUUCUGUAAGAGAAUUUGCUAGAAGUAAUAGAAGAGGUAGCAUAACAUUGAGUGUUUUUCCAGCUCAAAUAUCUCUCUACCUUUGGGAUUGAAACAGAAACAUGUUUCCACUAUAUUUGGCAAUAUAACCAGUCCAUUAAGAUCAAUACAUUGGAGUACGCUGACCAACGUCAAUUCACAAUACCAAUGUCCACUGGCACUUGACAAAGAAGUCUCUCGAAAGGGAGGUCACUGGGUCAAUGUAGUGUGUGGACUUCUUCAUUCAUAUUUUCACCUUAUGGAUUCCAUUGCUCCAUUUUGAUAGUUUGUAGACUCUAUCACCUAUGUGUUGUAUUCAUUUCUAGAGAUGUGUAUGAAUUGAUUUUUUCAUUUCGAUUUGUACCCAAAUCAAAACACCUCUGAUUUGUUUGGAGUCUGAAUCUGAUCCCCCCCCACCACAAAUCACACCAGAUUCGAUUUGGACCCUAUUUUUUUGAAUCCAAAUCCAAAUCAAUUUGGAUAAAAAGGGGUCCCAGGGCCAAAAGAGUGCUGGUGGUGGUAGUGCCCAAUGGGUGGGAGCUACCACCCAAAUUUCAAAAAAAAUGGGCAAGGGGGUGAUAUUUUUUAUGAAUUUUUGAAGUUUACACAUUGUUAUAAAUGACAAACAAUGAAUCCACUCUCAUUUCCUCAGAACACCUCAGAAACAACAAAACCCAGUGCCCCCAUGGGCUUGUGGGUAUGGGGGUGGUUGGCACCCUAUGUGCUAGUGCACCACCACUCACUCUGGGCCACCCCAGUGUCCCCCAAGUAAAGUUAUGAGGCUGAUGAAAUCCCCAUUAUUCCCUAUGGGGGAAAAGCUUAAAGAUGCGCAGACUUCACAUAUUCUUUAAAAAUCACCCCUUUCACCCAUUUCUUUGGAAUCUGAGUGGUAGCAGGUACUCAUUGGGGCACUACUACUCAACUCACUGUUCUGCCCCCAAAGCCCCUUUUCUCCACCAAAGACACAAACUUCAGAAAUCCUUUAAAAAUCAACCAU
Long non-coding RNA from Hemicordylus capensis (graceful crag lizard), 3588 nucleotides. RefSeq lists it as uncharacterized. The transcript is spliced from 4 exons. NCBI's taxonomy places the organism in Eukaryota, Metazoa, Chordata, Lepidosauria, Squamata, Cordylidae. The record is from RefSeq and is a predicted model, not a curated record.